Molecule: ribosomal RNA, 254 nt
Filed under: uncultured bacterium
Lineage: Bacteria
Description: partial 16S ribosomal RNA
Rfam family: Bacterial small subunit ribosomal RNA
Source: RNAcentral
CACGUAGGGCGCAAGCGUUGUCCGGAAUUAUUGGGCGUAAAGAGCUCGUAGGCGGUUUGGUAAGUUGGAUGUGAAAUCUCCAGGCUCAACUUGGAGGGGUCAUUCGAUACUGCCAUGACUAGAGUUCGGUAGGGGAGUGUGGUAUUCCUGGUGGAGCGGUGAAAUGCGCAGAUAUCAGGAGGAACACCCGUAGCGAAGGCGGCACUCUGGGCCGGAACUGACGCUGAGGAGCGAAAGCGUGGGGAGCGAACAGG